AGUGCAAAUGAUGAUAAAACUAGACAGGGACAUCAGAAACUCUUAAUGAGUGAAUCCAUGUUGAGUUGUCUUAAAUGGGAAUCUCUUUGAUGCUCU
Molecule: non-coding RNA, 96 nt
Organism: Spinacia oleracea (spinach)
Lineage: Eukaryota; Viridiplantae; Streptophyta; Magnoliopsida; Caryophyllales; Amaranthaceae
Source: Rfam